UUUCACCAGUGCUGUCUCCUUGCUAUGAUGCACCUUUAAAUCCUGACCGAAAAUCCUCAAAUCAACUAUUACUAUCUAGAAAGUUACACAACUGGUUGGCGACAGCUUUGUCAAGGAUCUUAGAGUGAAAAGGAAGGUUAGAUAUUGGUCUAAAGUCGGCUAAAACCUAUGGAUCAGGAGUAGACUUUUUAAGGAGAGGUUUGAUUACAACUGUUUUAAAAGACUGCGGUACAUAAAGUGUUAAUAAAGACAUAUUGAUUAUAUCUAGUAAAGAGGUGCAAACUAAGGUUAAAACUUCCUUAAGCAGCAUAGUUGGGAUGGGGUCUAAGAGACAAGUUGAUGGUUUAAAUGAAGACAUUGUUGAAGUUAGUUGGCAAAGGUCAAUGGGAGAGAAACUGUAUGAGUAUAUCUCACCUUUUGCAGCUGUUUCUAAGGUGCCUGUGUUUGAAGAUAAAUCGGCGCCGGUUGAGGGCAGGAGGUGGUGAAUUUGACUCUGGGCAGUUAGAAUAUUAUAAUUUAAAGAAGCUCAUGAAGUCGUCACUACUGAGAGUUAUAGGAAUACGUCGAUCGAUAGAGCUAUGGCUCUGUCAGCCUGGCUACAGUGCUGAAGAGAAACCGAGGGUUGUUUUUGUUUUCCUCUACUAGAGAUGAGUAAAAGGCUGCUCUGGCUUUACAGAGGUCAUUCGUGCCUAUCAUGCACUAUCGUGCCCGGCUACGCGGGAUACUACCAGAUGAGUUUCUACUUCAGACACAAGCAUCUACCUUUGACCUGUGUUAGAUCAGACUUGCUCGUCACCAAUGGAGGUAAAACCUCGUAGCUGCUACUCUCACUUGCUGAGAGGAAGGAGGUGUGUGAGGAGGAGAGGAUGGGGCCACAGACUUGAGAGUUUGGUUUCACUUCAUAAACAGUACAAUGGAGCAAACAUCUCUUCAGUGGCUGCUCUGUAAGUCGAUUCUGCGCAAUACAGUAAAUUAAUGGAGUCACACUCGUGAUCAGUUAUGAGCAUAUUUUUAUGUGUGAUUCCUACUGAAGAGCAUUUUUUAGAAAAUCACCAGUAAAGAUAUGGAAUUCAUUAUUCAACAGUUAAAUUGAAAACAUUUAAUGGACUAAUUUAACCAGGUUUUAUUAGCAUUGUUCCUACACCCGUCUGAUUUCCGUAUUUUAUUUUUAGAUUUUAUUUUAUUUAACACUAAACCUGUUGUUUUUAAGAAUGUGAGGGCGGAGGUCAGUUUGGUCCCAGUACCGAAGGCUGACAGAGUUACAGCAGCUUACGUUGGUAAACAAUGACUCAUGUGAGCGAAUGUUCACUUUCUGUUGCUCUACGAGUCUUAGAUGUCACCGACACGUGAAAAUCAAGGACCAGCCUCUGCUUCAUUUAAUGUCGGUAAAGUUCUGAUGGACCGGCUUUGUCUUUAACAUACAAACCACUGAUAGUAAGUGGUAUUUAUUGAAUUUCCAAAGUUACUGUAUCUGCAGAAGAAAAUAUAAACUAUGCGUCUCUCCUUUGCCCUCUGCGCGUCCAUGUGACCUCACUGAUUUAAAUCCAAAGAGAUUUGAAGCGAGUCGCUGUGUAAGUUACCGGUGGACGUAUCUUCUAUCUAUUCCCAUGUUUAUCAUCAGCUCAGUGUGUGUGCAAAACCUCUGGUAACAUGUGAAACCUGAAAGCUCUGUAUCAUUUCCCUUCAGGGUUGACCACAGCGAUCUGCUGCAGAUCCUCUCAAGGUGAUCCUACAACCAAAGCCCCGCCCCUUGUCUCAGGCCCCCACCAGCUUGUGUUCAGGCUAGUCUGCCACCUAGUGGUGUUCUGUCCGUACUUCAUCUCCACAGCCCUCAUGGUGUCUUUAUACCGACACAAACCCACAGGUCACACACCCCACACACACACACACAGGUGUUCUGAUCUGCCUGCACCUGGGUGGAGCUGUGCUGAGGUUCUGUAGGAGUCGUUAAAGCCACAGUGAAACAUAAGCUACAGCGUCUUCGUCUUCACCUGCAGUAAGGAAAUGACCUGUCUGUCGCCAUGGCAACACCCACACCCAAUCAAGCCGACAAGGGAUUGGCUGACGGGUAUGAUGCCGUCGUUGAAGUCACCACCAGGCAUCACUUCUGAAUGGACGACCAAAAGAAAAAAAGUCUGUGUACAGACUGAUGUUUGUGACAAAUGAGGGAAAAUAACAUCAGGUGUGGUCACUGGUUAAACUGGUUCAAGUUUUUCUGUUUCCACCCUGAAGUCACUCCGUGUCUGCCUAGUACAUCUGUGGAAAAUAAAAACCUAAACAAACCCAGCGUUUAAUAAAACGCCCCAGAGUUAAAUUCUCCAGGUCACAUUGACAGGAAACAAUGAAAUAAUCCUAAACUUGAAAUUGGUGUGGCUGCGAUC
This is a long non-coding RNA of Xiphias gladius (swordfish), 2381 nucleotides long. RefSeq lists it as uncharacterized. The record is from RefSeq and is a predicted model, not a curated record. The transcript has 4 exons. NCBI's taxonomy places the organism in Eukaryota, Metazoa, Chordata, Actinopteri, Istiophoriformes, Xiphiidae.